UGGUCCGAAAUACACAUUCGCCCAGGGGAGACGGGUGGCCACGAGGACGGGUGGCCGAGCGGGAUGAUAGCUCCAGGCCAGGAGUGUGCUCACCGUGGGGAAACUGCCUCCGGAAGCCCAUGUUUUCCCCACACUAAUUAAAGAUAAGACAACACUGGAGAAACAUUUCCAUAUUUUAUUUCCCACCUAUCUACACACUUUUGGGAUACAAAGAUAGCCUCAGUAACUCCUGGUAAGUGGCGCAGAACAGUAAGCCAUAAGAACAUAAGAACAAGCCUGCUGGAUCAGACCAGAUCCAUCUGAAGAGUCCAGAGUCCAGACCAGAAGCCAAACUGUAAACCACACAGUGCGACGGAAAGGCAAUGUGGAUCAUCAUCAGCUCAGACUGAGGGGACCGGUAUCACCUGUUCCUGCUGGGAGAAGCCUGCACACUGAUGUUGCCAGCCUCUAGGUGGUGCCUGGAGAUCUCCUGGAAUUACAGCUGAUCACCCAGAGAUCAGUUUCCCUGGACAAAAUGGCAACUUUGGAGAACCAACUUAAUGGCAUCAUAACCCUGCUGAGAAUCCUGCCUCCCCAGUCUUGGCCCUACAAUUUCCAGGAAUUUCCCAGCCUAGAGCUACCUUUCUAUCUCCUUUGUAUGAGGCAUGCAAGUCAGCAGCAAGGACGAUAAUAGCGGGGAAAUGGAAGAGCAGUGAACCUCCAGAGAUAACAGAAUGGACGAACAGAAUAACGGAAAUUAUGGGACACGAUAAGUUAUCAUCUAUCAUAAAGCAAAGACCUUUAGAAAAAUAUUUACAAGAUUGGGAACCUUUAUUGAAUUACAUGAAACAAUUUAGCUGUGUAGAUAUGAUAAAGAUAUAUCAACAUUGAAAUAGAAAUAUUUCUGUCAUGUAUUUUAGUAAAUCUUCAGAUUAACAAUUUAAAAAAAUGUUUAGAAACAAUGCAUUAGGAAGGUAAUAGGAACUAUGAUUUAGAAGAAAAGAAGGAAAGGAGGGUUACAAAUAUAAGUGUUUUUCUUUUGAAGUUUUAAACAAUGAAUAUAAGCAAAGGAAUUAUUAAGUUAGUAUAUUCAAUGACAAGGUGAAGUCACGAACUUGGUUAUGAAAGUAAUGUAUAUUAAGUUGAAAGAAUUAUAUGCUAUUGACAUGGAGAAGAAGUAUAUUAGAAAAUAGUUUUUAUUGCUUGUUUGUUUGUUUGUUUGUUUUUAAAACUAAAACUUGAAUAAAGAUUAUUAUUAAAAAAAA
Sphaerodactylus townsendi is the source of this 1244-nucleotide long non-coding RNA. RefSeq lists it as uncharacterized. The transcript is spliced from 6 exons. Lineage: Eukaryota; Metazoa; Chordata; Lepidosauria; Squamata; Sphaerodactylidae. The record is from RefSeq and is a predicted model, not a curated record.